This 915-nucleotide ribosomal RNA is filed under the name uncultured bacterium. RNAcentral describes it as "bacterial SSU rRNA". It matches the Rfam family "Bacterial small subunit ribosomal RNA", at positions 8 to 916 of the family's 1533-position model. The record is from RNAcentral.
AGAGUUUGAUCAUGGCUCAGGACGAACGCUGGCGGCGUGCUUAAGACAUGCAAGUCGAGCGGGGGCAGCAAUGCCCUAGCGGCGGACGGGUGAGUAACACGUGGAUAACCUGCCUCAUGCUCUGGGAUAACAGGCCGAAAGGCUUGCUAAUACCGGGUAAGCUCACGCUGCCUCAUGGCAGAGGGAGAAAAGGCGCUGCAAGGCGCUGGGAUGAGAGGGGUCCGCGGCCGAUUAGCUAGUUGGUGUGGUAAUGGCACGCCAAGGCGACGAUCGGUAGCCGGCCUGAGAGGGCGAUCGGCCACACUGGGACUGAGACACGGCCCAGACUCCUACGGGAGGCAGCAGUCGGGAAUUUUGCACAAUGGCCGAAAGGCUGAUGCAGCAACGCCGCGUGAGUGAAGAAGGCCUUCGGGUUGUAAAGCUCUGUUGCCCGUGACGAACGGCAUCCUCAGGAAAUGGGGGAUGUUUGACGGUAGCGGGAGAGGAAGCCCCGGCUAACUACGUGCCAGCAGCCGCGGUAAUACGUAGGGGGCGAGCGUUGUCCGGAUUUAUUGGGCGUAAAGGGCGUGUAGGCGGCCCGGUAAGUCAGGGGUGAAAACUCGAGGCUCAACCUCGAGACUGCCUCUGAAACUGCUGGACUUGAGUGCUCUAGAGGGUAGUGGAAUUGCCGGUGUAGCAGUGAAAUGCGUAGAGAUCGGCAGGAACACCAGUGGCGAAGGCGACUACCUGGGGAGCAACUGACGCUGAGGCGCGAAAGCUGGGGGAGCAAACGGGAUUAGAUACCCCGGUAGUCCCAGCCGUAAACGAUGAGUGCAAGGUGUAGGGGGUAUCGACCCCUCCUGUGCCGGCGUUAACGCAAUAAGCACUCCGCCUGGGGAGUACGGCCGCAAGGUUGAAACUCAAAUGAAUUGACGG